RNAcentral lists this ribosomal RNA (453 nucleotides) under Triticum aestivum (bread wheat). RNAcentral's name for it is "partial small subunit ribosomal RNA". The stretch from base 211 to 304 matches the Rfam family "Small nucleolar RNA Z247". Lineage: Eukaryota; Viridiplantae; Streptophyta; Magnoliopsida; Poales; Poaceae. The record is from RNAcentral.
CUGUCCAAGGAGGUGCUUGUUCAAGUGGCCUCGCUUGAAUCAUCCCAUGUGAUCUGGACUGUGUUAGCAAACAUGUUUUCUGCAAUUUCCCUGUCUCGCAUCAAUAACAUCAGAUCGGCCCUCACGAACGCCCAGAAGGGAUCACAGUCGGCCUCCACCUACUUCGGGCAGAUGCGCGCCCUCUCCGACGAGCUUGCGGUGGCGGGCAAACCGCUCGGGGAGGAUGAACUCAUCUCCUUCAUCGUCGCCGGGUUUGAUAUGGAGUAUCAGCCAAUCAUCUCUGCACUCGACGUCCGCACCGAGCCUAUCACCGUCGACGCGCUCUUCUCAAUGGCGGCAAACUUUGAUCAACACGUUGAGAUGUUCAACGGCGCUGGUGGCUUCAAGUCAUCGGCGAACGCUGCCUCUAGGGGUCGCUCGGGUGGUGGCAGAGGCGGCUACCGCAACCAGAAG